Molecule: non-coding RNA, 29 nt
Filed under: Mus musculus (house mouse)
Lineage: Eukaryota; Metazoa; Chordata; Mammalia; Rodentia; Muridae
Source: RNAcentral
UGAUCUUCAGAGCCUGCUAGAUCGUUCUC